This 496-nucleotide ribosomal RNA is filed under the name uncultured bacterium. RNAcentral describes it as "bacterial SSU rRNA". It matches the Rfam family "Bacterial small subunit ribosomal RNA", at positions 791 to 1307 of the family's 1533-position model. The record is from RNAcentral.
UAGUCCUAGCUGUAAACGAUAAGAGCUAGUUGUCUGCAAGCAUGCUUGUAGGUGACGCAGCUAACGCAUUAAGCUCUCCGCCUGGGGAGUACGGUCGCAAGAUUAAAACCCAAAGAAAUUGACGGGGGCCCGCACAAGCGGUGGAGCAUGUGGUUUAAUUCGAAGCAACGCGCAGAACCUUACCUACCCUUGACAUGCCGGUCGCGAUUUCCAGAGAUGGAUUUCAUCAAUUCGGUUGGACCGUGCACAGGUGCUGCAUGGCCGUCGUCAGCUCGUGUCGUGAGAUGUUGGGUUAAGUCCCGCAACGAGCGCAACCCUCACUUUUAGUUGCCAGCAUUUAGUUGGGCACUCUAGAAGAACUGCCGGUGCUAAGCCGGAGGAAGGUGGGGAUGACGUCAGGUCCUCAUGGCCCUUACGGGUAGGGCUACACACGUGCUACAAUGGCGCUGACAGAGGGUUAAUCCCUAAAAGGCGUCUCAGUUCGGAUUGUCCUCUG